Molecule: ribosomal RNA, 350 nt
Filed under: uncultured eukaryote
Lineage: Eukaryota
Description: partial 18S ribosomal RNA
Rfam family: Eukaryotic small subunit ribosomal RNA
Source: RNAcentral
CAAUAGCGUAUAUUAAAGUUGUUGCAGUUAAAACGCUCGUAGUUGAACAUCUGCCCUUUUCCGGUUAGGUCCGCUCUGCGCGCACCUUCCGAAAUCGGCAUCCGUCUGCGUUGCUUCGCAUUGCAGACCGUUCACUUUGAGGAAAUUAGAGUGUUCAAAGCAGGCUUACGCCUUGAAUACUUCAGCAUGGAAUGAUUGAUAGGACUUCUAUCCUAUCUUGGUUCUAGGGACAGAAGUAAUGGUAAACAGGGUUGGUUGGGGGCAUUCGUACUGAACAGUCAGAGGUGAAAUUCUUAGAUUUGUUCAAGACGAACAACUGCGAAAGCAUUUGCCAAGGACGACCCCAUUAA